AGGAGGAUCCCAUCCAAGAGCAACUGGGGAGUUUUGAAAGACAGAGGCUUAUUAUCGACCAAGAUGCUCUUUCACGGCUAAAGUUGCUCAACAAGUCUCUGCCUCAGUCCAAAUGUGUGGACAAGUGUCACCCUGGAUUUGUAAAACGGGCUCGGAAAGAAGAACCAAUUUGCUGCUAUGAUUGUAUUCCUUGUCCGGAGGGGACCAUCUCCACACAGGAAGAUACUGAAAAAUGCACCAAGUGCCCAGAUGAUAAAUAUCCCACGGAUGACAGAAUCCAAUGUAUCCCCAAAAGAAUAACCUUCCUGUCCUAUGAAGAACAUCUGGGCAUCAUCCUGGUCUCCUUUGCUGUACUCUUGUUUCUAACAACAGGCCUUGUUUUAGUCAUAUUCCUUAAAUACCUAGAAACUCCCAUUGUCAAAGCUAACAACCGUGACCUGUCCUACAUCCUCCUGGUUUCCCUCUUGCUUUGCUUCUUGUCCUCCUUUUUCUUCAUUGGCCGACCAAGGAAAGCCACCUGCCUUCUCCGACAAACAAUG
Non-coding RNA from Pantherophis guttatus, 539 nucleotides. Lineage: Eukaryota; Metazoa; Chordata; Lepidosauria; Squamata; Colubridae. The record is from RefSeq and is a predicted model, not a curated record.